This is a long non-coding RNA of Artibeus jamaicensis (Jamaican fruit-eating bat), 1640 nucleotides long. RefSeq lists it as uncharacterized. The transcript is spliced from 4 exons. NCBI's taxonomy places the organism in Eukaryota, Metazoa, Chordata, Mammalia, Chiroptera, Phyllostomidae. The record is from RefSeq and is a predicted model, not a curated record.
UCCUCCCUGCAACCACCCACCUCCCUGCAAAAACCCAAUCGGAAUGCGACAGGGCCUGCACCCCCGCGGCUCCGCCCCCACCGCCUCUGAAAGACACACACAAACAACUAGCUUGCUGCAGAGGGGCACAAAGAACGCGCACUGCGCAGGCGCUGCCAACGGGCUCUUUGGGGAAGAGUCGGCCCCGCGAACAAUGAAGUUCCUUUUCAGCCCCACCUCCCCCACCCUUCUCCUUCGAAGCCCCCGCUCCUCGCCCUCUAGGCAGAGAUCUUCCUAAGAGGAUCAGCAGGCCCGUGCAGGUUGUGCUUUGCACAAGAGUGCCUGGCCGAAGGGGCGGGGGAACUGGAAGACAGCUCUCACUCUGCUCUUAAGGUCAUCUGACUGGAAGCUGGACCACCUGGAUGACAGAGGACCAUUGAGAGAUUUUAUCUGUUAUGAUGCAUGGACAGAGCCCACAUAAUUGCCGGUUGCUGUAUUUUUCAGUAGAGGGAAGGGGGGAAGAGAAACAUCAGUGUGUUGCUGCCUCUCGUGUGCCCCACCCCCACUGGAGAACUAGUCCACAACCCAGGUAUGUGCCCUGACUGGGCAUUGAACUGGCAACCCUUUGGUUGGCAGGCUGAUGCUCAGUCCACUGAGCCACAACAGCCAGGACCCGGUGAGAGACUUUUAAAGAUGGUUCUACGGAGUCUUCAGCAUUUCUCCCAAACAUUUUUGAAAACAUUCUUGCUUUAAAGUAUUUUUUACUUUUUAAUUGAUUUGAGAGAGAAAGAGAAACACUGAUUUGUUAUUCCACUUAUUAUUGCAUUCAUUGGUUGAUCUGUGUAUGUGCUCUGACCUGAGAUUGAACCCACAACCUUACCGUAUUGGGGUAAUGCUCUAAUCAACUCAGCUACCUAACCAGGGCAGAACAUUCUGGCUUUAUAGAAACAACAAGAUGAUCCAGAUUAUCUUGAUCUUUCUCUGACCCAAAACAUGGAAUGAGCUAUUUUAUAAGAAACCCUUGUUCCUUUAAAUGAAGAGAAAUAUUAGCGGCAAAAUCUGGGCAUCAGGGUGAAUAUCAGAACACCACAUGAGAACUUCUCUACCAAUCCAUCUUCAACAUACACAACUGAAUGUUCUGUAAUAAACAGCCCUUCUCAAAGCAGAGGUAGAGAGUUCUGGUCUCACCAUAGAUUUUUAACUCAUUUAAUUCAUUUUUGGAAUCACCUUAGAGAUUCCAGGUCCCUUUAUACAUAACCUUUAUUUUCUUUUGUUUGUUAAAACAUAGUUUUAUUUUAUUAACCAAUGUCAUCCUAAUACAUUUAAUUUAAAAUAAAAAACAACUCAUUUCACAUUAAAGCCCUUGUAUUAGUCGAUGAUUCAUGUUCAGUAUUAUUUAAACCAUUUGCAGUUGUUCAUUAAGUAAAGGAAAAUACUUAUUUACGUUCGAAAUAAAACAGGUGUGGGGGAAAAGGAACACUGCAUGAGUAUGGAUUAUAAUUAGGAUAAUAUCACUAGUAGGCCAUUUAUUGGGUAAAAUUGGAAGAUAUUUUUUUUAAAUUACCACCCAGGGAUAUGUUUAUUGACUUUAGAGAGAAAGGAAGGGUAAGAAAGACAUUGACCCAACUAGGAUCAAAACCUCGAACUAGGUAUGUGUCCUG